UGCCAGCAGCCGCGGUAAUACGGAGGGUGCAAGCGUUGCUCGGAUUUACUGGGCGUAAAGCGACCGCAGGCGGUUUGCCAGGUCCGAUGUGAAAGCCCGGGGCUCAACCCCGGAAGUGCAUCGGAAACCGGCAGACUUGAGUACGGGAGAGGAAAGCGGAAUUCCUGGUGUAGAGGUGAAAUUCGUAGAUAUCAGGAGGAACAUCAGCGGCGAAGGCGGCUUUCUGGUCCGAUACUGACGCUCAUGGUCGAAAGCGUGGGGAGCAAACAGGAUUAGCUA
RNAcentral lists this ribosomal RNA (279 nucleotides) under uncultured bacterium. RNAcentral describes it as "partial 16S ribosomal RNA". It matches the Rfam family "Bacterial small subunit ribosomal RNA", at positions 506 to 784 of the family's 1533-position model. The record is from RNAcentral.